Molecule: ribosomal RNA, 834 nt
Filed under: human gut metagenome
Description: bacterial SSU rRNA
Rfam family: Bacterial small subunit ribosomal RNA
Source: RNAcentral
ACGAACGCUGGCGGCGUGCUUAACACAUGCAAGUCGAACGGAGAACUUAUUUCGGUAAGUUCUUAGUGGCGAACGGGUGAGUAACGCGUGGGCAACCUGCCCUCCAGUUGGGGACAACAUUCCGAAAGGGAUGCUAAUACCGAAUGUGCUCCCUUCUCCGCAUGGAGGAGGGAGGAAAGAUGGCCUCUGCUUGCAAGCUAUCGCUGGAAGAUGGGCCCGCGUCUGAUUAGCUAGUUGGUGGGGUAACGGCUCACCAAGGCGAUGAUCAGUAGCCGGUCUGAGAGGAUGAACGGCCACAUUGGGACUGAGACACGGCCCAAACUCCUACGGGAGGCAGCAGUGGGGAAUCUUCCGCAAUGGACGAAAGUCUGACGGAGCAACGCCGCGUGAGUGAUGAAGGUCUUCGGAUUGUAAAACUCUGUUGUUAGGGACGAAAGCACCGUGUUCGAACAGGUCAUGGUGUUGACGGUACCUAACGAGGAAGCCACGGCUAACUACGUGCCAGCAGCCGCGGUAAUACGUAGGUGGCAAGCGUUGUCCGGAAUUAUUGGGCGUAAAGAGCAUGUAGGCGGGCUUUUAAGUCUGACGUGAAAAUGCGGGGCUUAACCCCGUAUGGCGUUGGAUACUGGAAGUCUUGAGUGCAGGAGAGGAAAGGGGAAUUCCCAGUGUAGCGGUGAAAUGCGUAGAUAUUGGGAGGAACACCAGUGGCGAAGGCGGCUUUCUGGACUGUGUCUGACGCUGAGAUGCGAAAGCCAGGGUAGCAAACAGGAUUAGAUACCCCGGUAGUCCUGGCCGUAAACGAUGGAUACUAGGUGUAGGAGGUAUCGACCCCUU